This 372-nucleotide ribosomal RNA is filed under the name uncultured organism. RNAcentral describes it as "bacterial SSU rRNA". It matches the Rfam family "Bacterial small subunit ribosomal RNA", at positions 526 to 896 of the family's 1533-position model. The record is from RNAcentral.
CGGAGGGUGCGAGCGUUGUUCGGAAUUACUGGGCGUAAAGCGCGGGCAGGUGGUCCUUUAAGUCCUUUGUGAAAUCCCGGAGCUCAACUCCGGAUGUGCAUAGGAUACUGGAGGACUGGAGACUGGUAGAGGCGAGCGGAAUUCCUGGUGUAGCGGUGGAAUGCGUAGAUAUCAGGAAGAACACCGGUGGCGAAGGCGGCUCGCUGGGCCAGUUCUGACACUCAUCCGCGAAAGCGUGGGGAGCAAACAGGAUUAGAUACCCUGGUAGUCCACGCUGUAAACGAUGGGCACUAGAUGCCGGGCCUAUAGACGGGUUCGGUGUCGCAGCUAACGCAUUAAGUGCCCCGCCUGGGGAGUACGGCCGCAAGGCUG